AAUAGUUUAAUGCCAUAUCAGCAUUUUCAUUCUAAAUUUCAGAUUUUCAUCCUGAAAGAAAAAACAGAUCCAAAUGAAAAUCCUGAAAUUCAGGAUGAAAUUGCUAAUGUGGCAUUAAACUAUU
Gossypium raimondii (Peruvian cotton) is the source of this 124-nucleotide non-coding RNA. Lineage: Eukaryota; Viridiplantae; Streptophyta; Magnoliopsida; Malvales; Malvaceae. The record is from Rfam.